Long non-coding RNA from Engraulis encrasicolus (European anchovy), 716 nucleotides. RefSeq lists it as uncharacterized. The record is from RefSeq and is a predicted model, not a curated record. Lineage: Eukaryota; Metazoa; Chordata; Actinopteri; Clupeiformes; Engraulidae. The transcript is spliced from 5 exons.
CUCUGCACCUCUUGGAAUGAGGAGUUGGUCCGAAAAGCAGCAGAGGCAGUAGUCUCUGCUUCCCCCGAAAACACUCUGUGCAGGUAUGGAGGGAGACCGGGAUGAGAAGGGGAGGCGUGUUAGUUUGUUACCGGGAGGGGAGAGCAGCACACAGCAUCAUGGACUCGGUCACUCCAUCUGCAAAGUCCCCGUUUUGCGCACCACCACGACACACCGACUUAGCGAGAUUUCAUCUCUCAACCCCUCUGCACUGCAUCAUGACCGGAAGAGGCAGCGCAGAAGGCCGUGCCGCAGGCUAACAAGUGAUGACGGCAUCCCCAGACUGUCAAUGAUGAUGAUGCGGAGAGGACUUGCAGCAGAGGAUGAGAGAGCUACCCUACCCUACCCUCCGUGAGGGGCUGCAUUUACCAUUGAAGACGUGGGGAGCUCGGGAAAUCAAGAAGAAGGUGUAAUUACCCCGCCCGGUACAGUAUUCCAGGCCAGCGUUCCCGCGUCCCAGCCCCUGGGCACUUUCGUCUGCGUUGCCGUGUCCGGAUCACCACCCCACCAUCCCUACCACCAUCCCCACCAUCGCCUGUCUCCCAAACACUCACAGAUGGCCUCUGUCUGGCUCCUUCAGGGCUCUGGGUGAUCGGAGAGGAAAGCUGGGCUAAUCCCGUUCAUAGCAGCCCCUUUUGGAAAUCUGCUCUCUGCGGACCUGCGAUCCAUGUACCUGC